RNAcentral lists this ribosomal RNA (253 nucleotides) under uncultured bacterium. Its description in RNAcentral is "partial 16S ribosomal RNA". It matches the Rfam family "Bacterial small subunit ribosomal RNA", at positions 524 to 776 of the family's 1533-position model. The record is from RNAcentral.
UACGUAGGUGGCAGGCGUUAUCCGGAAUUAUUGGGCGUAAAGAGCGCGCAGGUGGUUAAUUAAGUCUGAUGUGAAAGCCCACGGCUUAACCGUGGAGGGUCAUUGGAAACUGGUUGACUUGAGUGCAGAAGAGGGAAGUGGAAUUCCAUGUGUAGCGGUGAAAUGCGUAGAGAUAUGGAGGAACACCAGUGGCGAAGGCGGCUUCCUGGUCUGCAACUGACACUGAGGCGCGAAAGCGUGGGGAGCAAACAGG